GCCGACGUAGCUCAAUGGUAGAGCACAGCUUUCGUAAAGCUGAGGUUGUGGGUUCGAUCCCCACCGUCGGCU
RNAcentral lists this transfer RNA (72 nucleotides) under Phycisphaerae bacterium. RNAcentral's name for it is "tRNA-Thr". It matches the Rfam family "tRNA". From Rfam's summary of the family: Transfer RNA (tRNA) molecules are approximately 80 nucleotides in length. Their secondary structure includes four short double-helical elements and three loops (D, anti-codon, and T loops). Further hydrogen bonds mediate the characteristic L-shaped molecular structure. tRNAs have two regions of fundamental functional importance: the anti-codon, which is responsible for specific mRNA codon recognition, and the 3' end, to which the tRNAs corresponding amino acid is attached (by aminoacyl-tRNA synthetases). tRNAs cope with the degeneracy of the genetic code in two manners: having more than one tRNA (with a specific anti-codon) for a particular amino acid; and 'wobble' base-pairing, i.e. permitting non-standard base-pairing at the 3rd anti-codon position. The record is from RNAcentral. RNAcentral also lists the same sequence under 1 other name. Lineage: Bacteria; Pseudomonadati; Planctomycetota; Phycisphaerae.